RNAcentral lists this ribosomal RNA (253 nucleotides) under uncultured bacterium. RNAcentral's name for it is "partial 16S ribosomal RNA". It matches the Rfam family "Bacterial small subunit ribosomal RNA", at positions 524 to 776 of the family's 1533-position model. The record is from RNAcentral.
UACGAAGGGUGCUAGCGUUGUUCGGAUUUACUGGGCGUAAAGCGCACGUAGGCGGGUUUUUAAGUCAGGGGUGAAAUCCUGGAGCUCAACUCCAGAAUUGCCUUUGAUACUGGCAACCUAGAGGCUGGAAGAGGUUAGUGGAAUUCCCAGUGUAGAGGUGAAAUUCGUAGAUAUUGGGAAGAACACCAGUGGCGAAGGCGGCUAACUGGUCCAGAUCUGACGCUGAGGUGCGAAAGCGUGGGGAGCAAACAGG